AACUUCCCUAGUUGCAUCACAUGCUUCUUGUCUCUCCACCGCAACACCCUCAACUCCUACUCCAUUCUACGGGUACCCCCAUUCUACUACUCGAUUUUUUUUUUCCUAAAACAGGGCAAUCCCCAAUUUCAAAAUCAACCCACUUUCUUCAAUCCAUUUUUUCAUUUAAAAUCUCAUUAAUGUGAAGAAAAAACGCUAACAAUCUGCUCUCAUUAUCAUCAAUGGCAAUUCACACUUAUUUUUCACUAAUACCAUGUUCUUUCUCUUCUCCCAAAUUGCCAUUUCCCAAAAACAGCAACAUUUAUCAAUCUCCAAUGCGAACAUUAUCUAAACCCACUAUUAGAGUACAGUUUCAGAAUCGCGCGGUUCCUUGUGUAGGCGAGGAUUUACCGAUUGAUUAUGCUGAUUGGUUGCCGAAAAGGGAACCGAGUGAUCGUAGAAGAGCUGGAGUAUUGCUUCAUCCGACGUCGUUUCCUGGACCUUAUGGUAUUGGUGAUCUUGGUCCUCAGGCUUUUCGGUUUCUUGAUUGGCUUCAUCUUGCUGGUUGCUCCCUUUGGCAGGUUCUUCCCCUUGUACCGCCUGGAAAGAGAGGCAAUGAAGAUGGAUCACCAUAUUCAGGCCAGGAUGCGAAUUGUGGUAACACUCUUUUUAUUUCUCUUGAAGAACUUGUUGAUGAUGGUUUACUGAAGAAGGAGGAGCUUCCGAAGCCACUACCUACGGAACGUGUCAAUUACUCGACUAUUGCUGAGAUAAAAGAUCCUUUAAUAACCAAGGCAGCAAAGAGGCUUCUGUCUAGUGAAGGGGAACUGAAAGACCAGCUCGAGAACUUUCGCCGGGAUCCAAAUAUUUCGAGUUGGCUGGAGGAUGCUGCUUAUUUUGCUGCCAUAGACAACUCUUUAAACACUAUUAGCUGGUGCGAUUGGCCUGAACCAUUGAAAAAUCGCCAUCUUGUAGCUCUAGAAGAAGUUUAUCAAAAUGAAAAGGAUUUUAUUGACAUAUUCAUUGCACAACAGUUCUUAUUCCAAAGACAAUGGAAAAAAGUUCGUGACUAUGCACAAUCCAAAGGAAUCAGUAUAAUGGGAGACAUGCCAAUAUAUGUUGGAUAUCAUAGUGCUGAUGUUUGGGCCAACAAGAAACAGUUUUUGCUGAAUAGGAAAGGUUUCCCUCUUAUGGUUAGUGGUGUUCCUCCAGAUGCCUUUAGUGAAACUGGUCAACUGUGGGGCAGCCCUCUGUAUGAUUGGAAAGCCAUGGAGAAGGAUGGAUUUUCAUGGUGGGUACGCAGGAUUCGACGUGCAACGGAACUUUUUGAUGAAUUUAGGAUAGAUCACUUCAGAGGAUUUGCUGGAUUUUGGGCUAUUCCUUCUGAGGCAAAAGUCGCAAUGCUGGGACGGUGGAAGGUGGGGCCUGGAAAACCUUUGUUUGAUGCUAUCUUCCAGGCUGUUGGGAAGAUCAAUAUUAUAGCAGAAGACUUGGGAGUAAUCACCAAGGAUGUUGUUCAGCUUAGAAAGUCCAUCGAAGCACCUGGGAUGGCCGUACUCCAGUUUGCAUUUGGCAGUGAGGCAGAAAACCCUCAUUUACCUCACAAUCAUGAGCAGAACCAAGUAGUGUAUACUGGAACACAUGACAAUGAUACAAUUCGAGGCUGGUGGGAUGUCUUGCCACAGGAAGAGAAAUCCAAUGUAUUAAAGUAUUUAUCAAACAUUGAGGAAGAGGAAAUAUCGUGGGGCCUGAUCGAAGGUGCAGUUUCUUCUGUAGCCCGUCUUGCAAUUAUACCAAUGCAGGAUGUACUUGGUCUUGGGAGUGAUUCCAGAAUGAACAUUCCAGCAACUCAGUUUGGAAACUGGAGUUGGAGGAUACCUACUUCAACCAGCUUUGACAGCCUGGAUGCAGAAGCAAAGAAGCUAAGAGAUAUACUUGCAACUUAUGGGCGGUUGUGAUGAUUAAUGGUGUUUAAGAUGUAAGGUGCCUGGAAAUCAGGGACACAGCCUGGGCUAUACAGGUUGCAGGUUCAAGACAUUGUCAGGCUUGGGACACAAAUUACAGUGGGUAUAAGCAAUCGAACAAGGCUCUUCUACCACAAUUCACCGGAUUGCUGCAAAGGAACACCUGCGUUUACAUUUUUCUGAUCUUUAGGCUCCCUAGGAAGCAGAUAAAGAAAGCUAAAACGCUUGCUAUGAAUUCUAUUAUUCUAUAUUAGCCGGUAUAAACUAGAGAUGGUAGAGCCUCUCCAUAUUUAUGCAGAAGACUUAAAAAGUUUGAACGUCAACUGAUCUAAAAACAAUUAACACAUGUUUCUGUCUUCACUAUCUGGUCGAAAAUAACACGAAAUUCCUUCGUCUUCCAGCAA
RNA transcript from Capsicum annuum, 2347 nucleotides. It is a transcript of the gene named 4-alpha-glucanotransferase, chloroplastic/amyloplastic, with no coding region annotated. The transcript has 17 exons. The record is from RefSeq and is a predicted model, not a curated record. Lineage: Eukaryota; Viridiplantae; Streptophyta; Magnoliopsida; Solanales; Solanaceae.